This 253-nucleotide ribosomal RNA is filed under the name uncultured bacterium. RNAcentral's name for it is "partial 16S ribosomal RNA". It matches the Rfam family "Bacterial small subunit ribosomal RNA", at positions 524 to 776 of the family's 1533-position model. The record is from RNAcentral.
UACGGAGGGUGCAAGCGUUAUCCGGAUUCACUGGGUUUAAAGGGUGCGUAGGUGGGCAGGUAAGUCAGUGGUGAAAUCUCCGGGCUUAACCCGGAAACUGCCAUUGAUACUAUUUGUCUUGAAUAUUGUGGAGGUAAGCGGAAUAUGUCAUGUAGCGGUGAAAUGCUUAGAUAUGACAUAGAACACCAAUUGCGAAGGCAGCUUACUACACAGUUAUUGACACUGAGGCACGAAAGCGUGGGGAUCAAACAGG